RNAcentral lists this ribosomal RNA (774 nucleotides) under uncultured Neocallimastigales. Its description in RNAcentral is "partial large subunit ribosomal RNA". It matches the Rfam family "Eukaryotic large subunit ribosomal RNA", at positions 22 to 646 of the family's 3401-position model. The record is from RNAcentral. Lineage: Eukaryota; Fungi; Neocallimastigomycota; Neocallimastigomycetes; Neocallimastigales.
GUACACGCUGUGACUAGCAUAUCAAUAAGCGGAGGAAAAGAAACUAACAAGGAUUCCCCUAGUAACGGCGAGUGAAGCGGGAAGAGCUCAAAUUUGAAAUCUUAAAGGGUUUCCCUUUACGAAUUGUAGUUUAAAGAAGUGUUUUCUGUUGAGGUUUUGGUAAAAGUUCUUUGGAAUAGGACAUCAUAGAGGGUGAGAAUCCCGUAUUUGACCUUUACUUUCAACUUUGUGAUACACUUUCAAAGAGUCGGAUUGUUUGGGAAUGCAGUCCAAAAUGGGUGGUAAAUUUCAUCUAAAGCUAAAUAUUGGCGAGAGACCGAUAGCGAACAAGUACCGUGAGGGAAAGAUGAAAAGAACUUUGAAAAGAGAGUUAAACAGUACGUGAAAUUGUCAAAAGGGAAGCGUUUGACACCAGUGUUGUUUUUCUGAAAAUCAAUUAAAGAACUGUUUAUGCUAAGUUGUUUAGACUUUAUCAGCUAUCUGUUUAGUUUUGAGCUUUUCUUUAAUGCACUUUUCAGUUAACAAGUCAACAUCAAUUUCUUUUGCUGUAAAAAAGCUUGAGGAAGGUGGCUUGAGAUUCGUCUUAAGUGUUUAUAGCCUCUUGCCUAUGCAGUCGGAGAGAUUGAGGUCUGCAGCGUAGAUCCUUCGGGGCUAAAUGCAUUUGUGCUAAGUUAUAACAUUUUAUAGACAACUUGUUGACUAUGAUUUGUCUUGUAGCUUACUCGCUUAUGUUAUUUUACCUACGCUUAGGAUGUUGACGAGACUGUCGAUCUC